Molecule: long non-coding RNA, 2018 nt
Filed under: Sorghum bicolor (sorghum)
Lineage: Eukaryota; Viridiplantae; Streptophyta; Magnoliopsida; Poales; Poaceae
Description: long non-coding RNA (SBIC_LNC008945)
Source: RNAcentral
UCCAUGUUUGAGGAGCUUUAUGAAAUCUACAAAGGUAUUUCCAUGAACUUAAAGCAUACUCAGUAAGAACACUGGAAGCAACUCUAAUCUUUUGGCUUUUAGAUAGAUUAUGCUUUUUAAAUUCAUUGUCUACAUUUAGCUCCCAUUUAAUAUAUGCAUGUGGAUCACAAUUUCCUUCAAAAUAAGGUAAUGCAGAUUUUAUUUCAUCUAGCAAAACAUCACAUACCUCAUGAGUGCCAUACUUAUCACUUGUCACACCUUUAGCAAAGUGAUGUGAACAUGCAAUCUGAUUAUCGCUUGUUUCUACGUGGAUUCCUGCCAUGAUUAAAACAAAACAAGAGACAUACGCAAUAAUCUUUAUGCUCCUAUCAACUACAAGGAUGUGGUUGUUGUAAAUAUUUCACUCUCACCCUAUGCAAACAAGUUCUCACCAAGCGAAGCAGGAGGUGGCAGGAACCAGCAAGUCAGAAAACCUAGAAAAUGGUGUAUCAACGCUGCAGCAACAACACUUGUCAAGUUGUAGUCUGAUAUGUAGAGUUAUAGGAUGGCUCUAUAUAUUGCACAAGGAAGUACUAGCACCACAUUAGUCACAAAAGCAUGUUGAGAAAUCAUUCAACGGUGGCACUGUGCUGGUCCUAGGCUAGAUCGUGCUAGAGAAGCAAGCCUGGGCACAGAUGAAGUCACAAUAUCGCAAGAAUAAUAAGAACAACAAGAGAUAACUUCUCUUCUUUUCCUCUUCCUUUCUUUUCUUUCCUUUUUUUUCUUUUCUUUGCUUUUUCUUUUCUUUUUUUUGAUAUUUUUUUGUUUCUUUCUGUUUUUUUUUUCUACUUUGCUCGACUAAAAUAAAUCUGAAUCUUGAUGGAUUAGAUUUCAGAAAACACACAAUGUCUUUAGUGUAACAAAAAUACAACUAGCAGAUUAUGAUGGUGAUAUGAUGCUACAGUAACACUGAUUGCAACGGGGAUGAGAAAAAUAGAAUGUGAAAGAAGAGUGGAGGAGAGGCAAAAGGAUGCGCAUGAAGUGGACAAGGAUGCAAUGUUCUAAAAUUAGAUGCCCAAGAGUGGAAUGAAUCUAGUGGUUGCAAUAGGAUGCUGAUUAAAAAUAGGAUGCUGAUUAUAGAAUGUGCAAGAGCGCUUACAAUAGGAUGUAUGAAUGGAAGAAAGGAACAUGCAGGUGGCAGUGAGUAAGAAUAGGUUGCUCAUGGGUGGAAGUGAAAACGUGCAUGCAAUGGCCUAAAAAUAUAGGGUGCGCAUGAGUGAAAAGAGAGUGGUGGAUGGAGUUUACACGGUGCCCAAGUAGGGUGGUGAUGGUAGUUCAGAUAUAUAGUGUAGUCCAAAUGUAUAUGGUAAUAGUGAUUGCAGCGGAGAUUAUACGACGGGCAAUGACUAAAACGUGACAAAAACUCGAAACUCUAAAAGUCUAAACCCAAGACCAGCAAUUCGACUCGACCGAUGUAAAUCAAACACAACUUGCCUGAACUAAGUAGUACUAGUAAAAGGCUCAAUGGGUCUAUAGGAUGUUGGGAAUGAAACUAAAAUUUUUUUGGCUUUUCUGGAUUAUAGGAAAAAAAAUUGCAAACUAAAAUCUCUCACCAAUCAAACCUUGCUUUGAUACCACAUAAUAAGAACGAGGGUGUCCCGAUCUUUUCGGUGGAGAUGGAUAACUUCGAUCUCUCUAGAGCGACAUUCACGAUCCGACUACAACCGUCCAAGGACGCUGCGUCUUAGCGAUCGAUACACCAAUUCCAGCGGUUGAUCACGAUCUUGUUGAUCACAACCAACCAAACCACUAGGGUAAUUCCUGCACGCAAUCGAAGAACAUGCAAGAACAGAUAGAACACUCAAUUGCCAAAUAAUACAAGAAGGAUCUGAUAUGAAUCACGAUAACAAUAUGGGGUUUUGAAUCAAGUAGAACGGAUGGUCUAGUCGACACAUGCGUUUACAAGGAAGUAGCAAUGGCUAAACUUACAACAAAACAAAACCCGCCUUGUGUCUCUGGCUGUAGAAGCCUUUAUGUAC